Molecule: long non-coding RNA, 1362 nt
Filed under: Triticum aestivum (bread wheat)
Lineage: Eukaryota; Viridiplantae; Streptophyta; Magnoliopsida; Poales; Poaceae
Description: long non-coding RNA (TAES_LNC025033)
Source: RNAcentral
CCUACGAUCUACAUACUAAAAAUAGACUGCAUAACCUGUACAUACUUCCAAUCAAACUCAAUUAUCAACGAAAUCGAGCCACUAAUUUAAAUGGGCAAAAAAGGAUUUGAUUAUGGUAACCAAUCCGAACACAAGGUAAUGGUGGCUCCCUGCUUGAGGUCGGUGAAACAUUGGGCAUGCCAUUUAUACGGCCCUCUCCAUCUGCAAGGGAGAACGACGAGACAACCACCAAAGAAAGUCAAAGUGUGACUGGGAUAUGGAGGAUACUUCUUCCCAGAAACCAUAUGGUAGGUACUAGACACAAUAAAUAAAUGAAAAAAAUAGAAGCUACUAUUCAACAAGAAAAAUCUCGGCCUAACUUCUGUGAUAACAAGUUCAGUUUGAAUGUGAAUUUUAGCCGACGACAGUAAGAAACAUUAAUAUGAACAGCUGAGGAACAUAUCCCUCCAGAAAUAUCAUCAAAUAAGAUUACUAAAAUGAUUAUCGCAGUUACAGUUAUGUCACUUGGUCUGCCCUACCUGAAGUCAUUAUCUGAGGCUACAAGGAGAUGGUUGUAGGAGGCACUUAGAUAAAGACAAUGUCUUCCCCUCCGACCAACACGGAAUCCGCUGCCUUCAGUCUGUCCUCGUUUUGCCAUUGUACUUCCUACCAUGCACCGAUUAUCCAUGACAGGCUGACAAGCGACGAAUCAGCUGGAGCACCACAUAGAAGUACAUCUGAUUCAUCAGGAAGCUACUUUUCUGUUUGAGAAAACCAUGUGAUAAACUCAUAAACAUGUUAACUCACUUGUACUGCUGCUCACACAUAGGACAUGAUAACUAUCACAAUAAACCUCCAAAACUAGCAACAACUUUGUCCAGCGUCUAUUGCCAAAAUCGAAGCUUCUCUUCUAGAUCGUGCAAUAAAUGCAACUAAAAUAUAAAGAGUAAUUUGCGCUGAUUGAAGUGCACACGUACCAUAGUAUAAAAUCCAUUGCAGCCUCCUGCUCCACUUGUGCCGUUAUCUAUAAAUCGAAUAAACCUCCAAUUAAGCAAUUCAACAAGCAUGGCAUGAGCACAAAACAGAAAUGAAUAUAUAGUUCAGUAAUUCUACGAAUUAAUCAAAUAGUGGAAUCCUAAUCGUAUUUUUUAAAUACAAAUAGAUCAAACAAAUAAGGACAUUGCUGGAGUUAUAGGAGGUUAAAAAAGAAAUGAUAGGAUGAGAAAUCAGGGCUCACCUGAAGCAACAGAGGUGAAAGCUGCAGACCAAGAAAGGAUGCCCCUGCCUCUCCCGGCAAGGAGCAUGCCUUCGUGAGGCGCCGACCUCAAAUCUGUCGCUGGAAUCUCCUGCCUUUGUUGGUUAGCCAUCUAAGUACAAAUUCCC